Molecule: unclassified non-coding RNA, 1719 nt
Filed under: Nilaparvata lugens (brown planthopper)
Lineage: Eukaryota; Metazoa; Arthropoda; Insecta; Hemiptera; Delphacidae
Description: uncharacterized LOC111046651, transcript variant X1
Source: RNAcentral
UUUUCAUGUCGAGAAAAGUUUGCAGAUAGUGCUAGGAGAAACGAACCACUGAUUUGUUCAUUCUGGCUGCUGAACUACUGGGAGCAGGUGCAUUUCUAAGCGGUUUUUUCGAAUAGAUUAUUGAAGCAAGCAAAUAUGAACAGUGGAGAUUAUCCUGAUCAUCACGCCACUCCGAUCCUGGCUCGUCAGAUUGAAGAAGACCCCGAAAUACAGGAGAUGCUGUCAUCAACUGAGAGUUAUCAAUCCAACGCGACGUCGUCCGGUAGCAGUCCUAGACACGUGCCAGCUCACCAGCCAGUAGCCGCAGUUGCGGCUCAACCGCAAGCCGGCGCUCAACCGCAAGCCGACGCACAACCGCAAGCCGACGCACAACCGCAAGCCGAUGCACAACCGCAAGCCGCAGCCGCAGCAGAUGGAGCUUUGGUAGCUGAAACCGAGCAAAUGAGAUUGGAUUUUUUCCACAAACUCUACCACGACCUGCCUAUCGUUUCGUCACCGCUUGAUUUGACACGCAAAAUCUACAAUAGUGUCAGGCGUUCGAACUGUAUCUCAAAUCGCAUGCUCAAAGCAGCUGAGAAAACAGCGGGUUGUGUGAUGAACUCAACAAAUCCAAUAGUCAGCAUUAUCAGGGGGCCUCUGCUAAAAAUCGAUUACAUGCUUUGCUCAACACUUGAUUUUGUGGAAGAAAAAGUUCCUGCCAUCAAAUUGACACCAUCUGAGAUAUUAGUGAAUACGAAAUCGUUGAUCUACUAUGUGUGCACAGGACGGUGUGCAUUGGAUUGCGUGUGUGCAACAGGAGGGUACAGUCUGCAGACCGCCAACAGGCUGUUGCAUGUGAUGCGAUGCAGGCCGCUCGAAGCGUCAUUUGAGAGCGGUGUAAGAUCAAUUGUCGAUAAUUUAAGUGAUCCAACCUCUCCCUACUAUCAGCCAAUUGUACCUUUAUUGCCUGACUACAGACAAAAUAGCUAAGCUGUCUAUGCUGAAUAAUUUGAAAUUGAAUUGGCUACUCCUGCCUCUUAUAGAGCAACGUCGAUCCUGAGCUGUGAUCACUUGAUUGAGUGGGGAACUUCCCUAGCAGCUAGCAGCUAGCUUCAAAAUUCCCAAUAUUGUAGAUUGUAUUUAUAUCGCCUAGAAGUAGCUUGAAGCUUCAAAAGUAUAGUUAUAAUUAUAUUAAUUCAAUAUUAUUUUAUAAUGGAGUAAUCGUGAUUGAGUGUGAGUGUGAUUCCUGAUACUUUUGUGAAAUUUGUUGAAAUCAAUGUAAGAGACUAUAUUUUAAGUGCCAUGUUGUCAUUGUAAAUGUCAUAGGCUGCUCUAUUUUAUCCAAUUAACACCUUUAUUAUAAUUAUCUAGGCUUUUGAUUUUUCUAUUGUUUUUCUGUAAAUUCGAGGCCCAACUGACAUCUAACAUUCUCUCAGUUACAUAUCGUAGAAGAGUUCAAAGCUCUUGCUGAUUUCACUAUCUUGUAUUCAACCUCCAGUUUUCCCAAAAACGGUUUGUGGGUUCGACUUCUAUGGAGAUAUUAUACCUGUGUUAAUAAUGUUAUCAAUAUAUUAAUGUUAUAUAGAUGUUAUCCAACGAGGAAUUGAAUAUUAUAUAUUUGAUGUUUUUCCAUUCGUAGUCUGGAAUGUGAAAUUUCAAUUGGAAUGCUUUUAGCGUAAAUAUACUUGAUUCAAAAAUGUUUGAAUUAUAUUUUUUAUAAAUAAACAUUGUCUCAAAUUA